AUCCUUUUGUAUUCAUUUAUGUAUGAUGAUUGGGUUUUUACCAUCACAUGUGGUGAGAUGUGUCUCCCUCAAGCUUGUUAUCACGUCAGCAUGUGAUCAGUCUGAUC
Macaca fascicularis (crab-eating macaque) is the source of this 107-nucleotide small nucleolar RNA. The record is from Ensembl. NCBI's taxonomy places the organism in Eukaryota, Metazoa, Chordata, Mammalia, Primates, Cercopithecidae.